Molecule: non-coding RNA, 204 nt
Organism: Pelobates cultripes (western spadefoot toad)
Lineage: Eukaryota; Metazoa; Chordata; Amphibia; Anura; Pelobatidae
Source: the annotation of a GenBank genome assembly
GCCCGGAUGGGUUUAGCAACCUAUUUUAUAAAACAUUUAAAGAUUUAAUAUGUCCACAUUUGACCUCUGCUUUUAACAUAGCGGCAAACAGAGGAUUUUUACCAGCAGAGAUGCUAAAAGCUAAUAUCUUGCCUAUUUUAAAAAAUGAUAAAAACCCCACUGAUAUCAAAAACUACCGUCCGAUAUCUUUAAUAGAUGUUGACA